GACGAACGCUGGCGGCGUGCCUAAUACAUGCAAGUGGGACGCAAGGGAACACACUGUGCUUGCACACCGUGUUUUCUUGAGUCGCGAACGGGUGAGUAACGCGUAGGUAACCUGCCUAUUAGCGGGGGAUAACUAUUGGAAACGAUAGCUAAUACCGCAUAAUAUUAAUUAUUGCAUGAUAAUUGAUUGAAAGAUGCAAGCGCAUCACUAGUAGAUGGACCUGCGUUGUAUUAGCUAGUUGGUAAGGUAAGAGCUUACCAAGGCGACGAUACAUAGCCGACCUGAGAGGGUGAUCGGCCACACUGGGACUGAGACACGGCCCAGACUCCUACGGGAGGCAGCAGUAGGGAAUCUUCGGCAAUGGACGAAAGUCUGACCGAGCAACGCCGCGUGAGUGAAGAAGGUUUUCGGAUCGUAAAGCUCUGUUGUAAGUCAAGAACGUGUGUGAGAGUGGAAAGUU
RNAcentral lists this ribosomal RNA (460 nucleotides) under Streptococcus mutans. RNAcentral's name for it is "bacterial SSU rRNA". It matches the Rfam family "Bacterial small subunit ribosomal RNA", at positions 28 to 470 of the family's 1533-position model. The record is from RNAcentral. Lineage: Bacteria; Bacillati; Bacillota; Bacilli; Lactobacillales; Streptococcaceae.